This 1289-nucleotide ribosomal RNA is filed under the name uncultured fungus. Its description in RNAcentral is "eukaryotic LSU rRNA". The stretch from base 626 to 1289 matches the Rfam family "Eukaryotic large subunit ribosomal RNA", at positions 1 to 649 of the family's 3401-position model. Lineage: Eukaryota; Fungi. The record is from RNAcentral.
AAGUCGUAACAAGGUUUCCGUAGGUGAACCUGCGGAAGGAUCAUUAUUGAAUAAACUUGAACAGGCUGUUGCUGGCCUCCCUCUAGGGGGGGUAUGUGCACGCUUGUCAUAUUUAUCUCUCCAACUGUGCACAUUCUGUAGAUCUGGAGCCCUUUGUAUUCUCGAAUAGAUUGAGGAUUGCUGUACUAGCUUUGCCUCGCAUUUCCAGAUCUAUGUUUUUAUCUUCACAAUGUGUCUAGAAUGUUGAAUUGAAAUGAUAAUCAUAUACAACUUUCAGCAACGGAUCUCUUGGCUCUCGCAUCGAUGAAGAACGCAGCGAAAUGCGAUAAGUAAUGUGAAUUGCAGAAUUCAGUGAAUCAUCGAAUCUUUGAACGCAUCUUGCGCUCCUUGGUAUUCCGAGGAGCAUGCCUGUUUGAGUGUCAUUUGAGUUCUCAAGGUCAUACUUUUGGUGUGGCUUUGGAAUAUGGAGGUUUGCAGGCUUCUGAAAAAUGAAGUCGGCUCCCCUGAAAUGCAUUAGUGGUAUCUGAGCAGAGACUACUUACAGGUGUGAUAAUUAUCUAUCUAUGCCUCGGUAUGCUGCAUUGAACAGACUGCACCGCUUAUAACAAGUGAAAUUUGACAAGUUUGACCUCAAAUCAGGUAGGACUACCCGCUGAACUUAAGCAUAUCAAUAAGCGGAGGAAAAGAAACUAACAAGGAUUCCCCUAGUAACUGCGAGUGAAGCGGGAAGAGCUCAAAUUNGAAAUCUGGCGGUUCUUGACCGUCCGAGUUGUAAUCUAGAGAAGUGUUACCUGUGCUGGACCGUGUAAAAGUCUCCUGGAAUGGAGCAUCAUAGAGGGUGAGAAUCCCGUCUUUGACACGGACGACCCGUGCGUCGUGGUGCGCUCUCAAAGAGUCGAGUUGUUUGGGAAUGCAGCUCAAAAUGGGUGGUAAAUGCCAUCUAAAGCUAAAUAUUGGCGAGAGACCGAUAGCGAACAAGUACCGUGAGGGAAAGAUGAAAAGCACUUUGGAAAGAGAGUUAAACAGUACGUGAAAUUGCUGAAAGGGAAACGCUUGAAGUCAGUCACGUUGGCUAGAAAUCAGCCUUGCUUCUGCACGGUGUACUUUCUGGUCGACGGGUCAGCAUCAAUUUUGACCGCUGGACAAAGUCUUUGGGAAUGUGGCAUCCUCGGAUGUGUUAUAGCCCAUCGUCGCAUGCAGCGGUCGGGAUUGAGGAACUCAGCACGCCGCAAGGCCGGGUUUCGACCACGUUCGUGCUUAGGAUGCUGGCAUAAUGGCUUUAAUCGACC